UCUUGAGACCGGCUAGGUGGGCACGAGUCGCUGUCGUCGGGUCUUCCACCACCACCAUCCGCCCAUGCCCGCCCCACUUCCCCGACUUCUACAUAAGCAGAGCCCACCAUCCGGGUCCGACCCCCCUACGCCGUGCUGUGCUCGAGUGUCAACGUCAUCGCCUAGCCUCCCGCCGCCGUCGCCGCCGCCGCCACACGCGAACAAGGUCAAAGAAGAUGGCUGAAGUCGAGACCUUCCUCUUCACAUCCGAGUCUGUCAAUGAGGGGCACCCUGACAAGCUCUGCGACCAGAUAUCUGAUGCUGUGCUAGAUGCAUGCCUGGCUGAAGACCCUGACAGCAAGGUUGCUUGCGAGACAUGCACCAAGACCAACAUGGUCAUGGUUUUCGGUGAGAUCACUACCAAAGCCAAUGUUGACUAUGAGAAGAUUGUCAGGGAUACUUGCCGUGGCAUCGGUUUUGUGUCCAAUGAUGUAGGGCUUGAUGCUGACCACUGCAAGGUACUUGUCAACAUUGAGCAGCAGUCCCCUGACAUCGCGCAGGGUGUCCAUGGCCACUUUACCAAGCGGCCUGAGGAGAUUGGCGCUGGUGACCAGGGCCAUAUGUUUGGAUAUGCAACUGAUGAGACUCCUGAGUUCAUGCCCCUCAGCCAUGUUCUUGCUACCAAGCUUGGUGCUCGUCUCACCGAGGUCCGCAAGAACGCCACCUGCCCGUGGUUGAGGCCUGAUGGCAAGACCCAGGUGACUGUUGAGUAUCACAAUGACAAUGGUGCUAUGGUCCCUAUACGUGUCCACACUGUGCUCAUCUCCACCCAGCAUGAUGAGACAGUGACCAAUGAUGAGAUUGCUGCUGAUCUGAAGGAGCAUGUGAUUAAGCCUGUUAUCCCAGAGCAGUAUCUUGAUGAGAAUACGAUCUUCCAUCUCAACCCAUCUGGCCGCUUUGUCAUUGGUGGACCUCACGGCGAUGCUGGUCUCACUGGCAGGAAGAUCAUCAUUGACACCUAUGGUGGCUGGGGAGCUCAUGGUGGAGGUGCUUUCUCUGGCAAGGACCCGACCAAGGUUGACCGCAGUGGUGCAUAUGUUGCAAGGCAGGCGGCGAAGAGCAUCGUGGCCAGCGGCAUCGCCCGUCGCUGCAUCGUCCAGGUGUCUUAUGCUAUUGGCGUGCCUGAACCGCUUUCGGUGUUUGUCUGACACAUACGGCACUGGCAAGAUCCCUGAUAAGGAGAUCCUUGAGAUUGUCAAGGAGAACUUUGACUUCAGGCCAGGCAUGAUCAUCAUCAACCUUGACCUCAAGAGGGGGGGGAAGGGGCGCUAUCUCAAGACGGCGGCAUACGGGCACUUCGGCAGGGAGGGCGCGGACUUCACCUGGGAGGUGGUGAAGCCCCUCAAGUGGGAGAAGCCUUCUGCCUGAGCAAACACUGAGCGAAGUCUCUGAAUAAAUUUAGGUUUACCUAUCGCAGCAAGUAAUAUCUCUAUUCACUGCUCCAGAGCUGCAACGGUGCAAGUUUUUUUUUUUCAGUGUUUGUGUUUAGAGGUGCUUGUAUUGUGGGUGUGCUACUUGUGUUCUUAUCUGCUCAUGUCAUGGUAAUGGUGGCGACAAGAUUGAAACUGUUAAAGAAUAUGACUUUCCUCUCUUUGCUA
RNA transcript from Triticum aestivum (bread wheat), 1637 nucleotides. It is a transcript of the gene named S-adenosylmethionine synthase-like, with no coding region annotated. The record is from RefSeq and is a predicted model, not a curated record. Lineage: Eukaryota; Viridiplantae; Streptophyta; Magnoliopsida; Poales; Poaceae. The transcript has 2 exons.